UGGGGGAUCGUUCAACGGUAGGACAGUGGACUCUGACUCCACGAAUCUAGGUUCGAAUCCUGGUCCCCCAGCCA
RNAcentral lists this transfer RNA (74 nucleotides) under Pseudomonadota bacterium. RNAcentral's name for it is "tRNA-Gln". It matches the Rfam family "tRNA". Rfam says of the family: Transfer RNA (tRNA) molecules are approximately 80 nucleotides in length. Lineage: Bacteria; Pseudomonadati; Pseudomonadota. The record is from RNAcentral. RNAcentral also lists the same sequence under 2 other names.